GACCUUUGAGGCCUCCCUUGCCUUCUGGCAUCUACUUGAGUUUGGCCACUGGAGGACAGUGGUGGGAGAUCAGAGGAUGGGAAGAGAGAGAGGUCAAGGCAUUUGUUCCUCCUGCUCACUCCCUGCUUUGACAUAUGUGGUGAAGUGGUGAGCUCCAGGGAGCCACAGAACCAGCCCACAAAGACCAAAGAGCCAGCCCGCCCACCCGUGGUCUAAGCAACAGGAAUUCUCACGCUCCCUUGCGGUCCAGUGACUUCACUUGGAGGCGUCCAGAUCAGGACUCAGCGUCAAAGGCCGAGGCUUCAGGAGACUGAGGUGGGAGUGUCUUCUUGCACCUCUUCCAUGGGCUACCACGGAAACUUCCUGCCUCCAGAAAUUCCAGAUGACAAGCGG
This 393-nucleotide long non-coding RNA is filed under the name Equus asinus (donkey). RNAcentral describes it as "lncRNA (ENSEASG00005026590.1)". The record is from RNAcentral. Lineage: Eukaryota; Metazoa; Chordata; Mammalia; Perissodactyla; Equidae.